RNAcentral lists this unclassified non-coding RNA (263 nucleotides) under plant metagenome. RNAcentral's name for it is "partial contains small subunit ribosomal RNA, internal transcribed spacer 1, and 5.8S ribosomal RNA". The record is from RNAcentral.
UUUCCGUAGGUGAACCUGCGGAAGGAUCAUUAUUGUAUAACCGAGGUGCGAGGGCUGUCGCUGACCCGAAAGUUCGUGCACGCCCGAGUGCCCUCACACACAUCCCUCUCACCCCUAUGUGCACCACCGCGUGGGUCCCUCUUUGGCUCGUUCGGAGGGGGGCUUACGUUUUCACACAAACUUUGUAUGCAGUGUAGAAUGUAUUUUUUGUUUUUGCGAUCACGCAAUCAAUACAACUUUCAACAACGGAUCUCUUGGCUCUC